CAAAAACAUAGCCUUAUUUAACUCAUAUAAGGUGAAACCUGCUCAAUGGUUGCUAAUAAUAACAUAAAAACAAUUAAAUAGCCGCGGUAACUCUGACCGUGAUAAAGUAGCAUAAUCACUCGUCAUUUAAUUGGUGACUGGAAUGAACGGUUAAACGAAUCUCUGACUGUCUCGAGGAGAGGGUUCAAUUAAUUUGAAGAAACAGUGAAGAUGCUGUUAGAUGAUUGUAAGACGAAAAGACCCUUUCGAGCUUUACUAUAAACUUAUAAUCUCAAUAAAUAAUAAUAAUCUAUUUAUAUAAUUCUUGUAAGUUUGUUAGUUUGGUUGGGGCGACCACCUCUAAAAUAGUAUCAGAGGAAAUCUAAAGGUUUUCGUGGUAAUAUAAUUUGCCUUACUGUAUACAAACAAGUUAAUCAGUUACAUUUAUGUAGGAUAUAAUGACCCGUUAAUUAAAUCUUAAAAGUUAACGACCAUGAAAAAAGUUACCGUAGGGAUAACAGGGUAAUAUUUUCGAAGAGUUCAUAUCGAUGAAAAUGUUUGCCACCUCGAUGUUGAAUUGUGAUAUCCUAAAGGUGUAGCAGCUUUUGAGGGUUGGUCUGUUCGACCAUUAAAAUCUUACAUGAUUUGA
Molecule: ribosomal RNA, 628 nt
Filed under: Rhopilema sp. Kamo
Lineage: Eukaryota; Metazoa; Cnidaria; Scyphozoa; Rhizostomeae; Rhizostomatidae
Description: partial 16S ribosomal RNA
Rfam family: Bacterial large subunit ribosomal RNA
Source: RNAcentral